GACGAACGCUGGCGGCGUGCCUAAUACAUGCAAGUCGAACGAGCGCGACCGGUGCUUGCACUGGUCAAUCUAGUGGCGAACGGGUGAGUAACACGUGGGUAACCUGCCCAUCAGAGGGGGAUAACAUCCGGAAACGGAUGCUAAAACCGCAUAGGUCUUCGAACCGCAUGGUUUGAAGAGGAAAAGAGGCGCAAGCUUCUGCUGAUGGAUGGACCCGCGGUGCAUUAGCUAGUUGGUGAGGUAACGGCUCACCAAGGCCGUGAUGCAUAGCCGACCUGAGAGGGUGAUCGGCCACAUUGGGACUGAGACACGGCCCAAACUCCUACGGGAGGCAGCAGUAGGGAAUCUUCCGCAAUGGACGCAAGUCUGACGGAGCAACGCCGCGUGAGUGAAGAAGGUUUUCGGAUCGUAAAACUCUGUUGUUAGAGAAGAACAAGUGCUAGAGUAACUGUUAGCGCCUUGACGGUAUCUAACCAGAAAGCCACGGCUAACUACGUG
Molecule: ribosomal RNA, 498 nt
Filed under: uncultured bacterium
Lineage: Bacteria
Description: partial 16S ribosomal RNA
Rfam family: Bacterial small subunit ribosomal RNA
Source: RNAcentral